Molecule: long non-coding RNA, 102 nt
Organism: Bombyx mandarina (wild silkworm)
Lineage: Eukaryota; Metazoa; Arthropoda; Insecta; Lepidoptera; Bombycidae
Source: RefSeq, a predicted model, not a curated record
AAAAGCUCACAACAUGAUGACUCUAAUCUUGGCGGCUCAGAUGGUGGUUCUAAAAGCUCACAACAUGAUGACUCUAAUGAUGGCGGGUCAGAUGGUGGUUCU